AGAGAGAGAGAGAAAUUUAAACAAAAAUAGGCAAAUAUCGAUCAAAAUUUGAAUCACAAAGAAAAAAAAUAUCGAAAGCAAAUGGAGGGGUUACAACGUUGUAGAUAUUGGUUUAAUGGAGUUUAUUUCUUUUUCCAUUCUUUGAGGUUAGUACUAUUGAUCCUAUAAAUCUUAUACAUCAAGAUUUUUGGCCGUUAAAUCUUGUUUAAUGGAACUUGAGUAAGAAUUUAACUUGCAAAAUUUUUGGUGUAUAUAUUGCUAGGAUACUGGGGAGCAUAUUAAAAACUCUUACGAAUUUGACAUGUGACGAAAAUUGCUAGUUAUUAGUACGAAAAUUGGUAGUUAUUUGUAAUUUUCCCUUGUUAUGUAAUUUGCCUUUGUCUGUAGUUCUGCGGGCAUAGGUAAGUGGCUGUUGGUCCAACUAAUCCAAUUUGUUGGAGAUAUUUUCAGCUGGUGGUUCAUGUUGGUGUUGCAUCGUGUGGAAAGGACAAUGGAAGCCAUGGUCGCAUGCUUUGCCGCACGGUUGAUGCUCACAGCAUAGCAAUGGAUAUACGCUACAUGUUUGGUGGGCGGAAGAUUCCCC
Molecule: long non-coding RNA, 583 nt
Filed under: Malus domestica (apple)
Lineage: Eukaryota; Viridiplantae; Streptophyta; Magnoliopsida; Rosales; Rosaceae
Description: long non-coding RNA (MDOM_LNC005485)
Source: RNAcentral